CGGGACACGUGGUAUCCUGUCUGAAUAUGGGGGGACCAUCCUCCAAGGCUAAAUACUCCUGACUGACCGAUAGUGAACCAGUACCGUGAGGGAAAGGCGAAAAGAACCCCGGCGAGGGGAGUGAAAAAGAACCUGAAACCGUGUACGUACAAGCAGUGGGAGCACGCUUAGGCGUGUGACUGCGUACCUUUUGUAUAAUGGGUCAGCGACUUAUAUUCUGUAGCAAGGUUAACCGAAUAGGGGAGCCGAAGGGAAACCGAGUCUUAACUGGGCGUUAAGUUGCAGGGUAUAGACCCGAAACCCGGUGAUCUAGCCAUGGGCAGGUUGAAGGUUGGGUAACACUAACUGGAGGACCGAACCGACUAAUGUUGAAAAAUUAGCGGAUGACUUGUGGCUGGGGGUGAAAGGCCAAUCAAACCGGGAGAUAGCUGGUUCUCCCCGAAAGCUAUUUAGGUAGCGCCUCGUGAAUUCAUCUCCGGGGGUAGAGCACUGUUUCGGCAAGGGGGUCAUCCCGACUUACCAACCCGAUGCAAACUGCGAAUACCGGAGAAUGUUAUCACGGGAGACACACGGCGGGUGCUAACGUCCGUCGUGAAGAGGGAAACAACCCAGACCGCCAGCUAAGGUCCCAAAGUCAUGGUUAAGUGGGAAACGAUGUGGGAAGGCCCAGACAGCCAGGAUGUUGGCUUAGAAGCAGCCAUCAUUUAAAGAAAGCGUAAUAGCUCACUGGUCGAGUCGGCCUGCGCGGAAGAUGUAACGGGGCUAAACCAUGCACCGAAGCUGCGGCAGCGACGCUGAUGCGUUGUUGGGUAGGGGAGCGUUCUGUAAGCCUGUGAAGGUGUGCUGUGAGGCAUGCUGGAGGUAUCAGAAGUGCGAAUGCUGACAUAAGUAACGAUAAAGCGGGUGAAAAGCCCGCUCGCCGGAAGACCAAGGGUUCCUGUCCAACGUUAAUCGGGGCAGGGUGAGUCGACCCCUAAGGCGAGGCCGAAAGGCGUAGUCGAUGGGAAACAGGUUAAUAUUCCUGUACUUGGUGUUACUGCGAAGGGGGGACGGAGAAGGCUAUGUUGGCCGGGCGACGGUUGUCCCGGUUUAAGCGUGUAGGCUGGUUUUCCAGGCAAAUCCGGAAAAUCAAGGCUGAGGCGUGAUGACGAGGCACUACGGUGCUGAAGCAACAAAUGCCCUGCUUCCAGGAAAAGCCUCUAAGCAUCAGGUAACAUCAAAUCGUACCCCAAACCGACACAGGUGGUCAGGUAGAGAAUACCAAGGCGCUUGAGAGAACUCGGGUGAAGGAACUAGGCAAAAUGGUGCCGUAACUUCGGGAGAAGGCACGCUGAUAUGUAGGUGAAGCGACUUGCUCGUGGAGCUGAAAUCAGUCGAAGAUACCAGCUGGCUGCAACUGUUUAUUAAAAACACAGCACUGUGCAAACACGAAAGUGGACGUAUACGGUGUGACGCCUGCCCGGUGCCGGAAGGUUAAUUGAUGGGGUCAGCGCAAGCGAAGCUCUUGAUCGAAGCCCCGGUAAACGGCGGCCGUAACUAUAACGGUCCUAAGGUAGCGAAAUUCCUUGUCGGGUAAGUUCCGACCUGCACGAAUGGCGUAAUGAUGGCCAGGCUGUCUCCACCCGAGACUCAGUGAAAUUGAACUCGCUGUGAAGAUGCAGUGUACCCGCGGCAAGACGGAAAGACCCCGUGAACCUUUACUAUAGCUUGACACUGAACAUUGAGCCUUGAUGUGUAGGAUAGGUGGGAGGCUUUGAAGUGUGGACGCCAGUCUGCAUGGAGCCGGCCUUGAAAUACCACCCUUUAAUGUUUGAUGUUCUAACGUUGACCCGUGAUCCGGGUUGCGGACAGUGUCUGGUGGGUAGUUUGACUGGGGCGGUCUCCUCCUAAAGAGUAACGGAGGAGCACGAAGGUUGGCUAAUCCUGGUCGGACAUCAGGAGGUUAGUGCAAUGGCAUAAGCCAGCUUGACUGCGAGCGUGACGGCGCGAGCAGGUGCGAAAGCAGGUCAUAGUGAUCCGGUGGUUCUGAAUGGAAGGGCCAUCGCUCAACGGAUAAAAGGUACUCCGGGGAUAACAGGCUGAUACCGCCCAAGAGUUCAUAUCGACGGCGGUGUUUGGCACCUCGAUGUCGGCUCAUCACAUCCUGGGGCUGAAGUAGGUCCCAAGGGUAUGGCUGUUCGCCAUUUAAAG
Molecule: ribosomal RNA, 2190 nt
Filed under: Escherichia coli
Lineage: Bacteria; Pseudomonadati; Pseudomonadota; Gammaproteobacteria; Enterobacterales; Enterobacteriaceae
Description: partial 23S ribosomal RNA
Rfam family: Bacterial large subunit ribosomal RNA
Source: RNAcentral